GUGCUUGCUUUGGCAGCACAUAUACUAAAAUUGGAAUAAUACAGAGAUUAGCAUGACCCCUGUGCAAGGAUGACAUGCAAAUUGAUGAAGCACUCCAUAUGUUU
Molecule: small nuclear RNA, 104 nt
Organism: Callithrix jacchus (white-tufted-ear marmoset)
Lineage: Eukaryota; Metazoa; Chordata; Mammalia; Primates; Cebidae
Source: Ensembl